UAACGAAUAAUCCGCAAUGGGCGAAAGCCUGACGGUGCGACGCCGCGUGCAGGAGGAAGUCCUUCGGGAUGUAAACUGCUUUUAGGAAGAUGCAAACAAAGCGGGCUAAUACCCCGUGAGUUGAGCUAUUCCAGAAAAAGCCUCGGCUAACUCUGUGCCAGCAGCCGCGGUAAUACAGAGGAGGCAAGCGUUGUUCGGAAUCACUGGGCUUAAAGGGCGCGUAGGCGGCGCGGUAAGUGUUCUGUGAAAUCCCACGGCUCACCCGUGGAACUGCAGGGCAUACUGCCGUGCUUGAGGCAGGUAGGGGCCACUGGAACUCUAGGUGGAACGGUGAAAUGUGUAGAUAUCUAGAGGAACGCCCGCGGCGAAAGCGGGUGGCUGGGCCUGUCCUGACGCUGAUGCGCGAAAGCGUGGGGAGCAAACGGGAUUAGAUACCCCCGUAGUCC
RNAcentral lists this ribosomal RNA (446 nucleotides) under uncultured bacterium. Its description in RNAcentral is "bacterial SSU rRNA". It matches the Rfam family "Bacterial small subunit ribosomal RNA", at positions 355 to 796 of the family's 1533-position model. The record is from RNAcentral.